Amphiprion ocellaris (clown anemonefish) is the source of this 2482-nucleotide long non-coding RNA. RefSeq lists it as uncharacterized. The record is from RefSeq and is a predicted model, not a curated record. The transcript is spliced from 3 exons. Lineage: Eukaryota; Metazoa; Chordata; Actinopteri; Pomacentridae.
AGACGGUUCACCUCACAAGACCGGGGUCAACCAUGGCUACCAGCAUGAACAACGGCGCUUCAGACCCACGUAGCGAGGACCCGAUGCCAGGUCCAGUGGACAGACUUCAGACGUCUCUGUGUGUCCGGUCCUGUCUCUGGUUGCCAGGUUACAGACGCUGCUGCACCCGCACGUUUAAAAAUGUCUACACCUGAAACUCCACCACGUCUAAAGAAGCAAAAACGUUUGCAAAUGUACAGACUGGAGUGGGAAGAGUGGAACCCCUGGCAAUGGGUACAAGGCAAACUGUGUUUCCUGUUGCUCAUGGACUGGCUGAAGUAAGGCAGCAUGAGGAGACAAACAUGGAGGAAAUAUGAGAACAGAGAGAACCCAACCAGCAGGUCACAGUUUAUCAUCAUCUAAUCAUCUCCUGAAGUCCAUAUGACCAAAGAACUACAGACUCUUCACAACCUGCUCAAACUCUUGGUACAGGACCUCACCACAUGGGUCAAGAAGGUUUCCGUCUCAUUUCUACUCUGAAGAUCACCUUCUCCUGCUCAAACUGCUGACAAAUGUUUCUGCUGCUCUAAAGUCUGGUCUCCAGAACUUCCUAAAAACUCUCAAAGUCUCUUCUGCUGCAGGCUGCUUUGUAGAACUGUUACAGAAAACCUCACUAAACCACAUGGAGGGGCCUCAAGAUAGUCGUCCAAAUGAAACCGUACAAAAACCAAACUAGCACAACCCAAACACUAAAGUCUCCUGCAGCCUACCAGAGAACCUCUGAGAACAGAGAAUCAGGACAGGAACUCUUACCUUCUGGACAACCACCUUUGGUUCACAAACAAGAAUACAGAAUGUGUCUGACCAAAAACCUCUGAAGACUCACUACAGCCAAGAUAAAGACACAACUCAGCUGCACCAAAUCCACUAAUCACUGCACACAUUAGCACCAUGUGCAAACUGUGGCUAAAGAACCACAUUUACCAAGACAACUAUCCAGUACAAAGCCCUAAAACACACCAAGAAACACAUUAAAGAUGAUUUUACUGCUGGAAGCUGCAAGCCAACACCUAAAUAACAAACUAAAGCAAUGGAGCCAAACCCGGUUCACUGGUGAAGAGAAGCAGAGGAAAUGUUUGUCUGCAGCUAAAUAAAGCAGGAAGACACUGAGCUGCUCAGGUGUUCCUGAUAACAACAAGCAGCCACCUGGACAGCCAAUAGGAACACAGCUUACUAGAAGUCCAGAGGGUUGGGUUAGUGAAGGAAAUUUAGUUUAAAGUUGAGGCAGAAAGUUAACAAAGUUGAAAACCACCUUCUGAUACCUGAAAUCUCUGAGUUUUCACACAAAGAACGCCUGAACAUGUCAAACUGGUUUCAUAGUAGAACCAUCAUUGUAAAAACGUCAUAGUAUGGUGUGUUGCUCAAAAAACAUUACGACCCGGCUGUCUAGGGUCGCUGAGGAGCAACACAAAAACAGGUGGUAUAUUCCACCCAACAUCCUUGAACAUAAACUUAAAAAGUUCAUUCAAAGGAAUAUUCCACCCAAAAUCCUUCAAUGUAGACCAAAAAAAUCUUGGUGUAAAGGAGUAUUCCACCUUAAAUGUAGAGCUAAAGGAUGGUUUGGAGUAAUAUUCUACUCUAAAAUCUUCCAAUGUAGACCUAAAAGGUUUAUCUGAUGGUAUAUUCUACCCAACAUCCUGGAACAUUUACCUAAAAGGUUGGUUUAAUGGUAUAUUCCCAGAAAAACCCUUGAACAUUAGGCUUAAUGGUAUAUUCCACCCAAAAUACUUGUACAUAUACCAAGAAGUCAGUGUAAAGGAAAUGUAGACGUAAAAGGAUUGUUUAAAGGAAUAUUUAAACGAUUACUUUCAUUAUUUAAUAAUCUGUUAUCAGUCAGAACCCUGGCAAACUUAUUUUCAUCAGUUUUUUUUUAGUGGAAGUCACAAAUAAAGGAGCUCUUGGUUUUUCCCGGCAUUAGUGAGUCAAAAGCUGCUUUUUCAACACAGACACGUUCACAUGCAUCCACAAACCUCUCAGCACUCAAACACCCACAGACAGGAGGCCGGCUGGACCGAGGCUCGGCAGCGUCCUCAGACCCACGAGUCGGGGAGUCGGUGAACUUGUUGGUCUGGUCUGAAGGCCUCCGUGUGGUCCAGUAGAAAUCCACGUAGUCGGUGUUGGCUUUGAACUGCAGCGACUGGCCACCAUCAGGUGGACCGGCUCAUCCUCGUAGGGCUCCUCCUGUAGCCUUGAGGGUACCACAGGAACAUUCAGUAGCUGUUGGAGUUCUUCCUGUCAGGCUCGUGGUAGAACGGCUCUGUAGAAUGUUGUACUUGUCUUAUCUGGAACAAUCUAACAGCCUAAACUGUUAACAGCGGUGUAAAGAAGCAAACACAGGCAUUGAUUAGGACUCAAACUAGAUUUAUUUUAGAAAACAAAUCAGCUUAGAGGCAUUUGUUCACACACGUGGCUGAAUAGGAGGCUGUCCAAUCAGAUUUGAGGU